RNAcentral lists this antisense RNA (75 nucleotides) under Streptomyces sp. KhCrAH-43. RNAcentral's name for it is "ASpks TB sRNA". It matches the Rfam family "ASpks TB sRNA". The record is from RNAcentral. Lineage: Bacteria; Bacillati; Actinomycetota; Actinomycetes; Kitasatosporales; Streptomycetaceae.
CUUGAACGAGCCCAGCCACAGCGGCUGGUCGGCGGGCCGCUCGCGCCCGUAGGCGGCGAUGAGGGCCUGCGCCUC